Molecule: ribosomal RNA, 344 nt
Filed under: uncultured bacterium
Lineage: Bacteria
Description: bacterial SSU rRNA
Rfam family: Bacterial small subunit ribosomal RNA
Source: RNAcentral
GAGUUUGAUCAUGGCUCAGGAUGAACGCUGGCGGCGUGCUUAACACAUGCAAGUCGAACGAUGAACCUCACUUGUGGGGGGAUUAGUGGCGAACGGGUGAGUAACACGUGAGUAACCUGCCCUUGACUCUGGGAUAAGCCUGGGAAACCGGGUCUAAUACUGGAUACGACCUUCUGGCGCAUGCCAUGUUGGUGGAAAGCUUUUGUGGUUUUGGAUGGACUCGCGGCCUAUCAGCUUGUUGGUGGGGUAAUGGCCUACCAAGGCGACGACGGGUAGCCGGCCUGAGAGGGUGACCGGCCACACUGGGACUGAGACACGGCCCAGACUCCUACGGGACGCAGCAG